CUACGUGCCAGCAGCCGCGGUAAUACGGAAGGUCCAGGCGUUAUCCGGAUUUAUUGGGUUUAAAGGGAGCGUAGGCUGGAGAUUAAGUGUGUUGUGAAAUGUAGACGCUCAACGUCUGAAUUGCAGCGCAUACUGGUUUCCUUGAGUACGCACAACGUUGGCGGAAUUCGUCGUGUAGCGGUGAAAUGCUUAGAUAUGACGAAGAACUCCGAUUGCGAAGGCAGCUGACGGGAGCGCAACUGACGCUGAAGCUCGAAGGUGCGGGUAUCGAACAGGAUUAGAUACCCUGGUAGUCCGCACAGUAAACGAUGGAUGCCCGCUGUUGGUACCUGGUAUCAGCGGCUAAGCGAAAGCAUUAAGCAUCCCACCUGGGGAGUACGCCGGCAACGGUGAAACUCAAAGGAAUUGACGGGGGCCCGCACAAGCGGAGGAACAUGUGGUUUAAUUCGAUGAUACGCGAGGAACCUUACCCGGGCU
RNAcentral lists this ribosomal RNA (477 nucleotides) under uncultured bacterium. Its description in RNAcentral is "bacterial SSU rRNA". It matches the Rfam family "Bacterial small subunit ribosomal RNA", at positions 501 to 981 of the family's 1533-position model. The record is from RNAcentral.